GUGCUGCCUGGCGCUGGCUAGGAGGCAAACGCACGCGGGAAGAGCUGCUACCCAUUCCAGGGACCCUGCCGCUGCCCCUCUGAGGGGUCUGCACCUUCUGGGAGCAGUGGCCUGAUCAUGGCUCACUGCAGCCUCCAACUACUGGCCUCAAGUGAUCCUCUUGCCUUGGCCUCCUGAAGUCCUGGAAUUAUAGGCGUGAGCCACUGCACCGGGCCCAUUUAAUACUCUGAGCCCCACCUUUCCCAUCUGUGGAUGGAGCCCCAUGUGGAACCCAAGGACGCAGCUGCUCUGCUAACACGGCAGCCCAUCCUUCGAGACUGUGACCUCGCCACAGUGGCCCUCAGCCCUCCACCUCCGGCGGGGGCGAGGGCCACCCACCUCCAAGUCUCCAGCCAUGACGACCUCCGCACUCCGGCGCCAGGUGAAGAACAUCGUGCACAACUACUCCGAGGCAGAAAUCAAGUGGCCUUCACCGAGGUCAUGGGCAUGCUGUGGCGGCGGCUCAAUGAC
Molecule: small RNA, 510 nt
Filed under: Pan troglodytes (chimpanzee)
Lineage: Eukaryota; Metazoa; Chordata; Mammalia; Primates; Hominidae
Description: processed transcript
Source: RNAcentral